GUGAAGGGUCCUUGGCGUUCAUGGCCAGUCAGCCUCGCAGAACUGCUAAGCCUCAAGCCCCAGCAAAAGACUGUCUUGAAAACUAUGGUGGUCAGAGCCUGAAGACAACACCGAGGAUUUGAACACUAUUUCAAAUGGAGGCACUAAAGGAGGAUGCAGAGCUGAAAAGUCUAGAGGUUGUGAGAAGAUUUCUCUGUGGCCAGAAGUUCUGAGGCUGGCUAAGACAUGGAUAUACAGAUGAGUACUUCCCUGAAGAUGAGAAAUCCAUAAGCCUGUGGUCCUGAGACCUCAUGAGAUCACAACAGUGAGAUGGGGUCUCCUGUGUCGCUUAAGCUGGUCUAGAGUUCUCCAAUUUCCUGCCUCAGCUUCCUGAUGAGUGAGAUUUCAAGUGCACAUUUCGCAGGGACACCGGGUGCCUGGCCAUUUCAGGGGUGUCUAACCAAUUGGAUUAGCAACAUCUUUAGGA
Molecule: non-coding RNA, 466 nt
Organism: Peromyscus maniculatus bairdii (prairie deer mouse)
Lineage: Eukaryota; Metazoa; Chordata; Mammalia; Rodentia; Cricetidae
Source: RefSeq, a predicted model, not a curated record